This 1294-nucleotide long non-coding RNA is filed under the name Salmo salar (Atlantic salmon). Its description in RNAcentral is "lncRNA (ENSSSAG00000098431.1, ENSSSAG00000098960.1)". The record is from RNAcentral. Lineage: Eukaryota; Metazoa; Chordata; Actinopteri; Salmoniformes; Salmonidae.
CCACAGGGCAGGCUGACAGGUUGUGUGAAGACAAAGCUUCUGGAAGACUGGCUCGACCAGCAUGGGCGAGUUGAGCAUAGUUCAGUGUACGCGUUGUGCUCUUUCACUGAGUUUUGAAAGGAACAGAAACUGGCUACUCUUUACUUGACUGAUGUAGCUGGUAAGGGGACGCGCUGCUGUAACUGGCAAGCUGCCUUUCCAGAACACGUGCUGAUGCUAUAACUAGUGAGACUGAAUGUCAACAAGGUCCAGGAGAAACAGGAGAGCUACCAGAGGAGAAUCAAGACCAAGUUCUUUGACAUCCGGGCGAAUGACUUGGUUUGGAAGAAGGACCAAAGAAAGGCGAGACCUGGGAAAACUUUCUGCUCUUUCGCUCCUAGCUGGGGUCACCAUCUAUUAAAUUAAGGUAAAUAUUAAAAUCUCAGAUAAUAACUAUUUGCACACAAACUUACCUGAAGCUAGUUUUAGUUUUCCUAACUCUGAUAUUGUCACGAUUGCUAGGAGUGGUGGUAGGAGUCAGGCGCAGAGAGCAGAGGUAAGAAAAAUGAGUUUUAUUUUUCUCUGGUUCGACAACGGUCGACGCCAACACAACAGGCGUGAGAACUAAGUGCCCAACCCAUACACAACGGGUCCACAGUUCGGAAAGAAAAUAACUCAAGCAGAUCGCCAGCACAUCCAAAAAAAGCACACUGACGAAAAUAAUCCCGCACAAACCUGGGCGGGCUAAACAGGCUUAAAUAACCACAAAUCAAGAUACACAAAUAAGGAACAGGUGCAAACAAUAAGACAUACCAACCAAAAAGGAAAAAGGGAUCAGCGGCGGCUAGUAGGCCAGCGAAGACGACUGCCGCCAGAGCAGGCAGGGGAGCCACCUUCGGUGGGAUUCGUGACAGAUAUUUUCCUCUUUAUGUGGAGCUAGGGGUUCAGCCUAACACCCAGAUGAGGAUCCACCUGAUGUCCUCCAUUACCAACCACCCUCCAACUUUUCAUUAUAUAAUCUACAGCUACUCUUAUUGGCAUUAUCUGCUAAGAAAGCUUGCUUGCUUUAUCAUACUGGGCCAUAAUACUGUAUGUGAGAUACACAGAUGCACUAAAAACACUAGCACUGCAAACACUCAGAAUGAAGAGAGCAGCAGUGCCUGGACUUCAAAGUCUCCUUCUUCAAGUCCUCCUACCAAGACUGGCUGCCUGUUGAGAACAAGUGACAGGCAGAACCACCCACCCACACAGCACCCUACUCCUCUCUAUUCCACACACCAUAAUUGAGUAUUUGAGUCUAUGAUUUCCAUGUGAG